RNAcentral lists this transfer RNA (70 nucleotides) under Oedemera virescens. RNAcentral describes it as "tRNA-Lys". Lineage: Eukaryota; Metazoa; Arthropoda; Insecta; Coleoptera; Oedemeridae. The record is from RNAcentral.
CAUUAGAUGACUGAAAGCAAGUACUGGUCUCUUAAACCACAUUAUAGUAAUUAGCGUCUACUUCUAAUGA